UAGAGUUUGAUCCUGGCUCAGAUUGAACGCUGGCGGCAUGCCUUACACAUGCAAGUCGGACGGCAGCGCGGGCUUCGGCCUGGCGGCGAGUGGCGAACGGGUGAGUAAUACAUCGGAACGUGUCCUGGAGUGGGGGAUAGCCCGGCGAAAGCCGGAUUAAUACCGCAUACGCUCUGCGGAGGAAAGCGGGGGACCUUCGGGCCUCGCGCUCAAGGGGCGGCCGAUGGCAGAUUAGCUAGUUGGUGGGGUAAAGGCCUACCAAGGCGACGAUCUGUAGCUGGUCUGAGAGGACGACCAGCCACACUGGGACUGAGACACGGCCCAGACUCCUACGGGAGGCAGCAGUGGGGAAUUUUGGACAAUGGGGGCAACCCUGAUCCAGCAAUGCCGCGUGUGUGAAGAAGGCCUUCGGGUUGUAAAGCACUUUUGUCCGGAAAGAAAGCGUCCUGGCUAAUACCCGGGGCGGAUGACGGUACCGGAAGAAUAAGCACCGGCUAACUACGUGCCAGCAGCCGCGGUAAUACGUAGGGUGCGAGCGUUAAUCGGAGUUACUGGGCGUAAAGCGUGCGCAGGCGGUUCGCUAAGACCGAUGUGAAAUCCCCGGGCUUAACCUGGGAACUGCAUUGGUGACUGGCGGGCUAGAGUAUGGCAGAGGGAGGUAGAAUUCCACGUGUAGCAGUGAAAUGCGUAGAGAUGUGGAGGAAUACCGAUGGCGAAGGCAGCCUCCUGGGCCAAUACUGACGCUCAUGC
This 750-nucleotide ribosomal RNA is filed under the name bacterium enrichment culture clone SC-2_81. RNAcentral describes it as "bacterial SSU rRNA". It matches the Rfam family "Bacterial small subunit ribosomal RNA", at positions 1 to 752 of the family's 1533-position model. The record is from RNAcentral.